This 598-nucleotide ribosomal RNA is filed under the name Xylodon quercinus. RNAcentral's name for it is "eukaryotic LSU rRNA". The stretch from base 207 to 360 matches the Rfam family "5.8S ribosomal RNA". Lineage: Eukaryota; Fungi; Basidiomycota; Agaricomycetes; Hymenochaetales; Schizoporaceae. The record is from RNAcentral.
UGGGCUUGAUGCUGGCGUCUUUACCGAUGCAUGUGCUCAGCCCCGCUCUCAAAUCCACUCAACACCUGUGCACUUUCAAAGUUGUAGUCCUCCGUAAUGGGAGCUGCAGGUCUUUAUGAUCUGUUGGGACUGCGCUUUGCCCUUUAUCACAAACUAUAUGCAUUGUCUUGUAGAAUGUUAGCCUCAUAGUGGGCGAAAUUUAAUACAACUUUCAACAACGGAUCUCUUGGCUCUCGCAUCGAUGAAGAACGCAGCGAAAUGCGAUAAGUAAUGUGAAUUGCAGAAUUCAGUGAAUCAUCGAAUCUUUGAACGCACCUUGCGCUCCUUGGUAUUCCGAGGAGCAUGCCUGUUUGAGUGUCGUGAAAUUAUCAACUCCCUUUCUUUAUUGAAAGGUGAGCUUGGACUUGGGGACUGCUGGUUCACGCCGGCUUCCCUUGAAUGUAUUAGCUGGAAUUUGAUUCGCAGCAUAUAUGCGGUGUGAUAAUGUCGUCACUGUGUAGCUCGGGUUGUCUGGCUUCUAACCGUCCUUCACGGGACAAUUUGAUCAAUUUGACCUCAAAUCAGGUAGGACUACCCGCUGAACUUAAGCAUAUCAAUA